AUUUGAGAGGAGCUGUCCUUAGUACGAGAGGACCGGGAUGGACGCACCGCUGGUGUACCAGUUGUUCUGCCAAGGGCAUCGCUGGGUAGCUAUGUGCGGACGGGAUAAGUGCUGAAAGCAUCUAAGCAUGAAGCCCCCCUCAAGAUGAGAUUUCCCAUUCCGCAAGGAAGUAAGAUCCCUGAAAGAUGAUCAGGUUGAUAGGUCUGAGGUGGAAGUGUGGCGACACAUGGAGCUGACAGAUACUAAUCGAUCGAGGACUUAACCUAAA
RNAcentral lists this ribosomal RNA (268 nucleotides) under Bacillus paralicheniformis. RNAcentral describes it as "partial 23S ribosomal RNA". It matches the Rfam family "Bacterial large subunit ribosomal RNA", at positions 2660 to 2925 of the family's 2925-position model. The record is from RNAcentral. Lineage: Bacteria; Bacillati; Bacillota; Bacilli; Caryophanales; Bacillaceae.